Molecule: unclassified non-coding RNA, 325 nt
Filed under: soil metagenome
Description: partial contains 5.8S ribosomal RNA, internal transcribed spacer 2, and large subunit ribosomal RNA
Rfam family: 5.8S ribosomal RNA (bases 1-120)
Source: RNAcentral
GAUGAAGAACGCAGCGAAAUGCGAUAAGUAAUGUGAAUUGCAGAAUUCAGUGAAUCAUCGAAUCUUUGAACGCACAUUGCGCCCCUUGGUAUUCCGAGGGGCAUGCCUGUUCGAGCGUCAUAUUAACCACUCCCGCUUGCGGGGUCUUGGGCUUCGCCUCCGGGCGGGCCUUAAAAUCAGUGGCGGUGCCGUCGGGCUCUACGCGUAGUAAAUUUUCUCGCGAUAGGGUCCCGGUGGAUGCUUGCCAACAACCCCCAACUUCUUAAGGUUGACCUCGGAUCAGGUAGGGAUACCCGCUGAACUUAAGCAUAUCAUAAGCGGAGGA